RNAcentral lists this ribosomal RNA (392 nucleotides) under uncultured bacterium. RNAcentral's name for it is "partial 16S ribosomal RNA". It matches the Rfam family "Bacterial small subunit ribosomal RNA", at positions 523 to 918 of the family's 1533-position model. The record is from RNAcentral.
AUACGGAGGAUCCGAGUGUUAUCCGGAUUUAUUGGGUUUAAAGGGUGCGCAGGCGGCCAUUUAAGUCAGCGGUUAAAUCGUGGGGCUCAACCCCAUUCUGCCGUUGAUACUGGGUGGCUUGAUUGCGGUCGAGGUUGGCGGAAUUCGUUGUGUAGCGGUGAAAUGCAUAGAUAUGACGAAGAACACCGAUUGCGUAGGCAGCUGACCAGACCGCAAAUGACGCUCAUGCACGAAAGUGCGUGGAUCGAACAGGAUUAGAUACCCUGGUAGUCCGCACAGUAAACGAUGAAUACUUGUUUUCGGCGAUAUAAUGUCGGAGGCAAAGCGAAAGCGAUAAGUAUUCCACCUGGGGAGUACGCCGGCAACGGUGAAACUCAAAGGAAUUGACGGGG